This 427-nucleotide ribosomal RNA is filed under the name uncultured bacterium. RNAcentral's name for it is "partial 16S ribosomal RNA". It matches the Rfam family "Bacterial small subunit ribosomal RNA", at positions 355 to 774 of the family's 1533-position model. The record is from RNAcentral.
UGGGGAAUAUUGCACAAUGGGCGCAAGCCUGAUGCAGCCAUGCCGCGUGUAUGAAGAAGGCCUUCGGGUUGUAAAGUACUUUCAGCGAGGAGGAAGGCGUUGUGGUUAAUAACCGCAACGAUUGACGUUACUCGCCGAAGAAGCACCGGCUAACUCCGUGCCAGCAGCCGCGGUAAUACGGAGGGUGCAAGCGUUAAUCGGAAUUACUGGGCGUAAAGCGCACGCAGGCGGUCUGUCAAGUCGGAUGUGAAAUCCCCGGGCUCAACCUGGGAACUGCAUCCGAAACUGGCAGGCUAGAGUCUUGUAGAGGGGGGUAGAAUUCCAGGUGUAGCGGUGAAAUGCGUAGAGAUCUGGAGGAAUACCGGUGGCGAAGGCGGCCCCCUGGACAAAGACUGACGCUCAGGUGCGAAAGCGUGGGGAGCAAACA